Molecule: long non-coding RNA, 3042 nt
Filed under: Nicotiana benthamiana
Lineage: Eukaryota; Viridiplantae; Streptophyta; Magnoliopsida; Solanales; Solanaceae
Description: long non-coding RNA (NBEN_LNC010590)
Source: RNAcentral
CUUUCUUCAGAAGUCGUUGAGCCUUCAUAAAAGAUACAAUUUUGCAAGUCUUUGGAACUUGACUCCCUCUUAGAAUAAAGUGGGUUCAUUUGGUAUCUCAAACUUAACUAUCUUUGCAUGACAAUCGACUAUAGCAUAGCAAGAAGAUAACCAAUCCAUUCCCAUAAGCAUGUCAAAGUCAAUCAUAUCAAGUACAAUAAGGUCAGUUAGAGUAUCUCUAACCUCAACCUGAAUCUGACAAACAUGAUCCACGUAUUCAGCUAAUAGAGACUCUCCAACACGAGUAGCAACUAGAAAAGGAUCAUUCAAUAGCUCAGGAUGUCUACUAAAUCUCAAAGCAAAGUACGAGGACACAUAUGAGUGAGUAGAUCCCGGAUAAAUCAACGCAGGUGCAUCAAAUGAACAGAAAUAAAGAAUACAUGUAACCACAUCUCUCAAGGCCUGAGCAUCCUGUCUAGUAAAUGCAAAAACUCUCAUCUGACCUCUACCAGCAUUGCCUUGUCCUUGAUUCACAGUAGCAUGGUCUCCAGCACCUAGACCUCUAUUUCCUGUACCUGUAGCACCUGAAGUAUUAUGAGUAGUCUGAGUCGGUGUAGCUGACAAAAUAGAAGCCUAGUUAAAAUUUCUUGGAGGCUGAGGGCAAUCCCUCAACUGAUGUCCAAACUGGUCACACCGAAAGCACUCUCCAGUUAGAACAUGACAUUGGCCCAAAUGUGAUCUACCACAAGUCUGGAGGAAUGGAGUAGUGGCAUAUAUCUGCCCAGAAUUACGAUGUCCAGAAGAUGAUGGUCCCCUAUUACCUUGUCUGUAAUGUGGUCUGUACGUGGACUGUGAAGACAUGUGUGUCCAUAUAUGAGAACCAUGUUGUUAUUGUCCCUGAUUCCCUGCUCUUCUAUUUUCACUAAAACCACCACUGAUGUGGAUUGUGAAGACAUGUGUAUCCCUAUCUAAGAACCUUGUUGUUGUUGUUGUCCCUGAUUUCCUGCUCUUCUAAUUUCACUAAAACCACUGUCACACCCCCUUUUUAAUAAACUCUAUUUAUUCCUCUUAAAUAAAUAAAAAGAUUUAUAAAGCUUGAAAAAAAGGGUUUUAAAUUUUUCAACGUGACAAAGAUCGUAUUCGAAAUGAAAACUCAGAGUCGCCACCUGGCAAUUGAUUUCGAUGUGCCAGGUCCGAUUUUUUUUAAAAAAAUAGUUUUCCUUUUAAAACACUUGGACUCAAAACUAAGUCCGCACCAGAUGUUUGGGUAAGGGGGUUUAUUUGACUCAGGGAGAAGGUUUUAGGAACCCCCCAAGUCCCGUGAAGGUCAGGAUCACGUACUCGAUCUAAUUGGCUUUUAGAAUAUUCGAAUUAAGAUAAAACACACAAAAGAAGAUAAACACAAAGAGGUUUGAGGUUGUCCGUGCCUAAGAUAAAAGAAAAAUAAGAAUAAAAUUAAAUACUACACAAACUCGUCACAGCCUCCAGAAUAUUUACAAAAUAAGGAGAAUUAAAUAAAAGGGAACUUCAACUCAUCGUCGUUUUCAUUUUUAAUAGUGAACUCCCCAGAUCCCCUUAUCAUUCUAUCCAAAUAAACAUAUAAACAGUGGAAAACACUAGCCAAUUAGGCUAAAUCACAAGACCAAAUAGUGAACAUGGAAACAUAUAAAAAUUGAAUAUAAACACCUAAGAGGGAACUAUCCAGAAGGUAUGGGCUAAUGGACUAACUAGUAAAAUAAAUAACAAAUAAAAGUAAAACAGGAGAAUGCCACGAUCAGGGCUGGAAUAUAUGACAAACACCUUGCAAUGUCAUUUUAUUUUCUCAAGGUACUCCUUAAUCCAUAGCUCAAAUCAAACAGGCGCAAGUAUAGACCCCUUUUGUGUUUUAAAUUCAAAAGAAACAAGCCAAUCAUCCUCUCAGGGUCUAUCACUCAUACGCUUAAAGUGGAAGACACAUGAGGAAUCGACAGUGACAUUAUUCACAUUUCAUGUAAGUAGGACAUUAGAUAGGCAACUCAAGGAAAACAAGGACACCUAUCGGAAUGGCACGAGAACAGAAUGAAAUCAUCAAGAAACAGAGCACGUUCACAUUGAGGCACGACAAAUCAGUUGAACGUGCAAACAUAACUCACUCCAAAUCUAUGAGUAGCCAAACUUAAUUAAUCAGAAGAAAUCGAUGGCAAACUAAUCUUAAAAAAACUAAUGGCCUAGAAACUACAAGGACUAGAUUGUUGAAGACAAAAUCAACUCGACUUCAAUUCUAAACCAGUAGUUACACUUCAUCAAACUUCCAUUUAAUCCUUGAACUUAAACAAGAAGGUUAACUGGUUUUUGGAUUUUAUGAUAGGAUUUUAUGAUAGGUUUAAGUAUGAUAUGUGAUUAUCAGUCAGUCUGGGAGGAGAAACAGUGCAAGGAAUUAUGCAGAUUCAAAUCAAAUUGCGACAUCAGAGAAAUCAUGAUAGAAUGAUGGACUAAGCACACACGAACUAAUGGAAUUGACUCGAUUAAGAUUCAAGGAUUCGUUCAGUUUUAGAAAUUAAGCAGAGCUAACCAAGCUAAUAAUAUACAGAGAACAUCAGAAUAGUUUCAAAAACUCAUUUUAACAUAUAAACUCAACCAAACCAAGUAGUAAUAUUCAUGAUAAUGGCAAACAAACACAUUACGACCAACAGUCACAAGACCGAUUCGAGUUUCAUUUGUUAAUCUCAAGAGCCAAUACUUUCCUCUAAUAGUAACCGAGCAUUAGGCAAUUCCUAACCAAGUAAGCUUCAACUCGUAUCUUGUUUCAAUCAACACAAAAAUUAGGGAGAAAGGGAAUCCAAAAGGAACCUGAAUAUGAGCUUUUGAUUAAUCUUGUUUGGAAGCAAUACAGAGAAAAAUGGCGUCAUAAUUCGAGUAUCUGACAGAGAGGAUGCAAGGAAGUAACAAAACAAGUGUAAGAGCCACAAACUUCGGACUCGUCAACUCCAAACGCAUCGAACGAAUUCCAUAAUUUGACCACCAAAUUUCGAAAUUCAAACAGAAGAAAAGAAUAUAUAUAUAUAUAUAUAUAUAUAUAUAUAU